RNAcentral lists this ribosomal RNA (1735 nucleotides) under human gut metagenome. RNAcentral's name for it is "bacterial LSU rRNA". It matches the Rfam family "Bacterial large subunit ribosomal RNA", at positions 1105 to 2925 of the family's 2925-position model. The record is from RNAcentral.
CUUAGAAGCAGCCACUCAUUAAAAGAGUGCGUAAUAGCUCACUGGUCGAGUGACCCUGCGCCGAAAAUUUAACGGGGCUAAAUCGUACACCGAAGCUUGGGAUGCAGUAAUGCAUGGUAGGAGAGCGUCGUAUAAGGGGUGAAGUCAGAGCGUAAGCGCUGGUGGACUUUAUACGAGUGAGAAUGCCGGAAUGAGUAGCGAGAAAUAUGUGAGAAUCAUAUUGGCCGAAAAUCUAAGGUUUUUGGAGGAAGGUUCGUCCGCUCCAAGUAAGCCGGGAGCUAAGGUGAGGCCGAAAGGCGUAGCCGAUGCACAUACGGUAGAUAUUCCGUAGCCGCCAAAAGAUUUAAGUAAGAGGACACCUUGAAAGGACUUGACCCGGGCGAUGGUUGCCCCGGGCGAAAGGGACCGAAAUUUAGUAGGGAAGCAAGUUUGGACGAGGGCGAGAAAAGUCUUAUGUAUAUCUUCGGCGCCCGUACCGCAAACCGACACAGGUAGAUAGGAAGAGAAUUCUAAGGCCAACGGGAGAAGGGUAGUUAAGGAACUCGGCAAAUUGACCCCGUAACUUAGGAAUAAGGGGUGCCACAGCGAUGUGGUCGCAGAGAAUAGGCCCAGGCAACUGUUUAUCAAAAACACAGGUCUCUGCCAAAUCGAAAGAUGAAGUAUAGGGGCUGACACCUGCCCGGUGCUGGAAGGUUAAGAGGAGAUGUGCAAGCAUUGAAUUGAAGCCCCAGUAAACGGCGGCCGUAACUAUAACGGUCCUAAGGUAGCGAAAUUCCUUGUCGGGUAAGUUCCGACCCGCACGAAUGGUGUAAUGAUCUGGGCACUGUCUCAAUUACCCGCCCGGCGAAAUUGUAGUACCGGUGAAGAUGCCGGUUACCCGCGACAAGACGGAAAGACCCCAUGGAGCUUUACUGUAGCUUAAUAUUGGGUUUCGAUAAUUUAUGUAUAGGAUAGGCGGGAGACUAGGAAACCGUGGCGCCAGCCACGGCGGAGUCGACGUUGGAAUACCGCUCUUAAGUUAUUGGAAUUCUAACCUGCGGCCAUGAAUCUGGCCGGGGGACAUUGUUAGGUGGGCAGUUUGACUGGGGCGGUCGCCUCCAAAAAGGUAACGGAGGCGCUCAAAGGUUGGCUCAGCAUGGUUGGAAACCAUGCCUUAGAGUGUAAACGCGUAAGCCAGCCUAACUGCGAGGAUGACGGUCCGAGCAGUAACGAAAGUUGGAGUUAGUGAUCCGGCGGUAUGAGAGUGGAAUUGCCGUCGCUCAACGGAUAAAAGCUACCCUGGGGAUAACAGGCUGAUCUCCCCCAAGAGUCCACAUCGACGGGGAGGUUUGGCACCUCGAUGUCGGCUCAUCACAUCCUGGGGCUGUAGUAGGUCCCAAGGGUUGGGCUGUUCGCCCAUUAAAGUGGUACGCGAGCUGGGUUCAGAACGUCGUGAGACAGUUCGGUCCCUAUCUGUCGUGGGCGCAGGAUAUUUGAGGAGAGCUGUCCUUAGUACGAGAGGACCGGGAUGGACGCACCUCUGGCGCACCAGUUGUCACGCCAGUGGCACAGCUGGGCAACUAUGUGCGGAACGGAUAAACGCUGAAAGCAUCUAAGCGUGAAGCCGACUCCAAGAUUAGAUAUCCCAUAGCGUAAGCUAGUAAGACCCCUUGUAGACUACAAGGUUGAUAGGCUGCAUGUGUAAGCACGGUAACGUGUUCAGCUUGGCAGUACUAAUAGGUCGAGGGCUUGACCA